CGCCUCAAUCCUGACAGGAGCCUGGCCACCUGAGGCCGGUGGUCCAUAGGACAAACCAGAACUGGACACUACAGUGACGAUGACAGACGCCUCCCGGACACUGGUCCCUGAGCUCGCCCGGCACACGUACUCGCCUGAAUCAGCCAUGGUGACAUGGGGGACACGGAGACGGGACCCUGAUACCUGGUGGCCUGCAGGCAGGGAGCCGCCGCGCCUGUACCAGGUGACGGUGACGUGGCCAGGUCCUGCCACCACACAGUCCAGGUCCAGAGUCUGUCCCUCAGUCACAGAAGGUGAUGAGGACUCGAUGCGCACAGGUGGUGCAGCUCCUGGCACCACCACCACCUCGAUGCUGGCACGGGCCGUGCCGGUGGCACUGGUGCCCACGCAGAGGUAGAUGCCACCGUCAGCAACAGUGAUGGAGGGGAUGAGCAGUGUGGCGAUGUCAGUACGCUCAGAGCGGGACUGGGGUGGCAGGGUGCCACCCUGCUUCUCCCAGGAGAUGGUGGCAGUGGGUGACCCGGACACACGGCAGUACAGUCGCACCGUUGAGCCCUCCUGCACCUCUGUCCGCUCUGGGCUAACCUGCACCCGUGGCUCAUCGGCACCUUGCACACGAAGGUAACCCCGUGCCAUGUCCUGCCCGGCGCUGCUGCGUGCGCGGCACGCGUAGUGCCCCUCAUCAGAUGGCUCGACGGCACUGAACCGCAGUGUGUCACCCUGGACAACCGCUCGUGGUGGCAGCGCACCGAGCCACUCGAGGGUGGGCGUGGGGCUGCCGGUGGCCACGCAGCGGAACUCGGCUGGCUGCCCCACCACCACGCUCAGCUGCGCUGGCUCCACGCUGGCGGUGGGGGCAGUGGCAGUGGCAGCCGGUCUGUGCCCCUCCAUAAACUCAACAGGUCCGUAAUACAUCUGGGUCUUCGAGGGGGCCUGGACAUAGAGUGUGGCUGUGCCCUCGUCCAUGUCCAGCAUGUUGGAGCCAGUGCAUACAUAAACACCAGCAUCCUCAGGCUGCACGUUGCGGAUGGUGAGGAUGCCGUUGAAGUCCAUGGCGCGCGAUGGCAGCGUCCCGUGGUUCUGCCGUGUCCACACCAGGGUGUAGGCAGGGGACUUGCUCUUGGCUGUGCAGAUGAAGGUGACGUCAGCCCCAGGCUUCACUCUCUGCACCCUCUUCUCCUCCACAGUAACAGUGAUGGGCUUGGUGGGGGUCUCGGUGACGAUGACCUCGGCGCGGCUGGUGUUGCUGUGCUGCAGGUUGCGGCAGGAGCAGACAUAGACACCAGCCUCGGAGGGUUGGAUGUUGGCGAAGUGCAGCUCCUUGCCUUGCCGCCGGCUCUGGGCACUGCUGGGCAGGGGCCGCCCAUCCUCCCGGGACCAGUGGUAAUACAGGGGGGGUUCCCCGCUGGCUUGGCACCGCAGUGUGACCGCACUGCCCUGUGGCACUGCCGUGCGCGGUGGGUGGACACGGACAGCAAGCAGGGACGGCGAACCCAGUGGGACACAGGUCUGGCCCCUCACACUGGGGUCCCCUGUGUAGCCUGGAGCACACCGCUCGCAGUACUGCCCGGCGUAUCCUGGCGCGCAGGCAGUGCAGCGGUACCCACCACCUCCCAGGCUCUCACAGGUCCUCGAGAACUGGUUCUCCGGGUGCAGCAGUGGGCAGGCGCAGGGCUGGCAGUCCUCAGGUGUGCCAGCAGUGGCAUCCCCGUAGAAGCCAGGCGCACACUGGUCGCAGAAAUCCCC
Molecule: long non-coding RNA, 1746 nt
Filed under: Gallus gallus (chicken)
Lineage: Eukaryota; Metazoa; Chordata; Aves; Galliformes; Phasianidae
Source: RNAcentral